GUGCUCACUUCGGCAGCACACACACUAAAAUUGUAACAAUACAGAGAUGACUAGCAUGGCCCCUGCAAGGAUGACGUGCAAAUUCGUGAAGCAUACCAUAUUAAA
Molecule: small nuclear RNA, 105 nt
Organism: Gorilla gorilla gorilla (western lowland gorilla)
Lineage: Eukaryota; Metazoa; Chordata; Mammalia; Primates; Hominidae
Source: Ensembl